This 253-nucleotide ribosomal RNA is filed under the name uncultured bacterium. RNAcentral describes it as "partial 16S ribosomal RNA". It matches the Rfam family "Bacterial small subunit ribosomal RNA", at positions 524 to 776 of the family's 1533-position model. The record is from RNAcentral.
UACGUAGGGGGCAAGCGUUGUCCGGAAUCAUUGGGCGUAAAGCGCGCGUAGGCGGCCCUGUAAGUCCGUUGUGAAAGUCGAAGGCUCAACCUUCGAAAGCCGAUGGAUACUACAGGGCUAGAGUCCGGAAGAGGCGAGUGGAAUUCCUGGUGUAGCGGUGGAAUGCGCAGAUAUCAGGAGGAACACCAAUAGCGAAGGCAGCUCGCUGGGACGGUACUGACGCUAAGGCGCGAAAGCCAGGGGAGCAAACGGG